The sequence is a ribosomal RNA, 154 nucleotides long. It matches the Rfam family "5.8S ribosomal RNA". Rfam says of the family: 5.8S ribosomal RNA (5.8S rRNA) is a component of the large subunit of the eukaryotic ribosome.
AACUUUCAACAACGGAUCUCUUGGUUCUCGCAACGAUGAAGAACGCAGCGAAAUGCGAUACGUAUUGUGAAUUGCAGAUUUUCGUGAAUCAUCGAAUCUUUGAACGCACAUUGCACCCUCUGGUAUUCCAGAGGGUAUGCCUGUUUGAGCGUCA